UACGUAGGGUGCGAGCGUUAAUCGGAAUUACUGGGCGUAAAGCGUGCGCAGGCGGCGCGUUAAGACAGGUGUGAAAGCCCCGAGCUUAACUUGGGAAUUGCGCUUGUGACUGGCGUGCUGGAGUGUGGCAGAGGGAGGUGGAAUUCCACGUGUAGCAGUGAAAUGCGUAGAGAUCCGGAGGAACACCAGUGGCGAAGGCGGCUGCCUGGGCCUGGCCUGACGCUCAUGCACGAAAGCGUGGGGAGCAAACAGG
RNAcentral lists this ribosomal RNA (253 nucleotides) under uncultured bacterium. RNAcentral describes it as "partial 16S ribosomal RNA". It matches the Rfam family "Bacterial small subunit ribosomal RNA", at positions 524 to 776 of the family's 1533-position model. The record is from RNAcentral.